UGACGUUAAAGGACCAACGGGGGGACACCAAUGCCCCGGGAAUUGGGGGGCCUUCCGGGUUGUAAACUUCUUUUAUGGGGGUGAAAGCUGGGAUUUCUAUUUCAGCCGACGGUACCCGAUGAAUAAGCACCGGCUAACUCCGUGCCAGCAGCCGCGGUAAUACGGAGGGUGCAAGCGUUAUCCGGAUUUACUGGGUUUAAAGGGUGUGUAGGCGGGCCGUUAAGUCAGGGGUGAAAUCCCGGAGCUCAACUCCGGAACUGCCUUUGAUACUAUCGGUCUUGAAUCUUGUUGAGGUGGGCGGAACGGGUCAUGUAGCGGUGAAAUGCAUAGAUAUGACCCGGAACACCGAUUGCGAAGGCAGCCCGCUAAGCAAGCAUUGACGCUGAGGCACGAAAGCGUGGGGAUCAAACAGGAUUAGAUACCCUGGUAGUCCACGCCCUAAACGAUGAUUACUCGACGUUGGCGAUACACUGAUCAGCGUCCAAGCGAAAGCAUUAAGUAAUCCACCUGGGAAGUACGAUCGCAAGAUUGAAACUCAAAGGAAUUGACGGAGC
RNAcentral lists this ribosomal RNA (554 nucleotides) under uncultured Bacteroidota bacterium. RNAcentral describes it as "bacterial SSU rRNA". It matches the Rfam family "Bacterial small subunit ribosomal RNA", at positions 355 to 919 of the family's 1533-position model. The record is from RNAcentral. Lineage: Bacteria; Pseudomonadati; Bacteroidota.